UGAUUUUUGGGAGUGCCUGAGCAUGCAAGUCGAACGCCCUGGUUUUUCGCAAGAAUGGCCAGGGAGUGGCGAACGGCUGAGUAACGCGUAAGUAACCUAUCCCUAAGUGGGGGAUAACUUGCCGAAAGGCAGGCUAAUACCGCAUAUUCUGGUAAGCGUUUAGCUUAUCAGCAAAGCUUUUGCGCUUGGGGAGGGGCUUGCGUCUGAUUAGAUAGUUGGUAGGGUAAUGGCCUACCAAGUCGGUGAUCAGUAGCUGGUCUGAGAGGACAACCAGCCAGACGGGGACUGAGAUACGGCCCUGACUCCUACGGGAGGCAGCAGCAAGGAAUUUUGCGCAAUGGGCGAAAGCCUGACGCAGCGACGCCGCGUGGGGGAUGACGGCCUUCGGGUUGUAAACCCCUUUUCUCGAGGAAGAAAUAUGACGGUACUCGAGGAAUAAGUCUUGGCUAACUACGUGCCAGCAGCCGCGGUAAUACGUAGAAGGCGAACGUUAUCCGGAUUUACUGGGCGUAAAGAGGGUGUAGACGGUUCUUUAAGUCAGUUGUGAAAUCUCCCGACUCAAUUGGGAGACUGCAAUUGAUACUGGAGAGCUUGAGGGCAUCAGAAGAAAGCAGAAUUCACGGUGUAGCGGUGAAAUGCGUAGAUAUCGUGAGGAAUACCAGUGGCGAAGGCGGCUUUCUAGGAUGCUCCUGACGUUGAGGCCCGAAAGUGUGGGGAGCGAAACGGAUUAGAUACCCGUGUAGUCCACACCCUAAACGUUGAAUACUAGGUAUAGGGGGUAUCGACCCUCUCUGUGCCGAAGCUAACGCUCUAAGUAUUCCCGCCUGGAGGACUACGGCCACAAGGCUA
This 849-nucleotide ribosomal RNA is filed under the name uncultured bacterium. RNAcentral describes it as "bacterial SSU rRNA". It matches the Rfam family "Bacterial small subunit ribosomal RNA", at positions 30 to 896 of the family's 1533-position model. The record is from RNAcentral.